RNAcentral lists this non-coding RNA (26 nucleotides) under Cricetulus griseus (Chinese hamster). Lineage: Eukaryota; Metazoa; Chordata; Mammalia; Rodentia; Cricetidae. The record is from RNAcentral.
UUCUUGGGGUAGAGCACGGGGAGACU